UAACAAUCAUUCAUUUUACUUUGUUUCCUUAAACUUUCCUUUACCCCAAACAAAGCCUUAGCUACAACAAUGACCUUGACUUGUGUUCUCUGAAAAAUACAACCAACAAAUUGAUGUGAGAUUAGCCAAAAAUGUGAUCUCUAACUCUAUGAUAGCCUCUACUAACAAAAGUCGAUGGAAAAGCCAUAGUCAUUUUAAUAAUGUUCUAAAAUUCCAAUGAUAUUCUUUCUAAUUUGCAAAUAUAAGUCAUUUUUUUAAUAAGUGUACAAACGAAAUAGU
This 279-nucleotide long non-coding RNA is filed under the name Medicago truncatula (barrel medic). RNAcentral's name for it is "long non-coding RNA (MTRU_LNC008759)". The record is from RNAcentral. Lineage: Eukaryota; Viridiplantae; Streptophyta; Magnoliopsida; Fabales; Fabaceae.